AGUUAUAUUUUCUUCGUGGCUGUUUUUGGCGGAUGGUGCCGUAGUGCCAAAAACAGAGAUCGAAGGCCCCAGUGCCCAGGCCCAAAUUACUGGUCCUGAUGGUAGUGUCAUAUCAUCUCAGAUGCCCGGAGGACAUAUUGCUCAAGACCGUGUGCCCAAUAUUAUAGAAACAGCUGGUCAUUUUUUAGGCCCAGUAUACCGAACACUCCACCCCCCUGCCCAUGGUAUGGAGGUACAAGAGAAUAUUGAUGGGUCGUUCGUGGGACCUGCUGUACAAAUGGAUGGCAAAACAUAUGUCAAACACUCAUAGAGCGAUGAGGAAACACAGCAAUAACCAUAGAAUGUCAGUCAUUCUUAUCGUAGAAUAUAUUAAUCCUUUAUAAUAUCUAAUGUUUGCGUUGAAAUAAAAUUAAAUAUUGUUAUUACAUACUAAAUAGAAAUAUAUAAUUUGUUAAAUUGA
Molecule: long non-coding RNA, 460 nt
Organism: Sitophilus oryzae (rice weevil)
Lineage: Eukaryota; Metazoa; Arthropoda; Insecta; Coleoptera; Curculionidae
Exons: 2
Source: RefSeq, a predicted model, not a curated record